UCCGCCAUGAUCUAGUAUAGCAUUAUACCGUGAAACUGCGAAUGGCUCAUUAAAUCAGUUAUCGUUUAUUUGAUAGUACCUUACUACUUGGAUAACCGUGGUAAUUCUAGAGCUAAUACAUGCUGAAAACCCCAACUUCGGGAGGGGUGUAUUUAUUAGAUAAAAAACCAACGCCCUUCGGGGCUUCUUGGUGAUUCAUGAUAACUUCACGGAUCGCAUGGCCUUGCGCCGGCGACGGUUCAUUCAAAUUUCUGCCCUAUCAACUUUCGAUGGUAAGGUAUUGGCUUACCAUGGUUUCAACGGGUAACGGGGAAUUAGGGUUCGAUUCCGGAGAGGGAGCCUGAGAAACGGCUACCACAUCCAAGGAAGGCAGCAGGCGCGCAAAUUACCCAAUCCCGACACGGGGAGGUAGUGACAAUAAAUACUGAUACAGGGCUCUUUUGGGUCUUGUAAUUGGAAUGAGUACAAUUUAAACCUCUUAACGAGGAACAAUUGGAGGGCAAGUCUGGUGCCAGCAGCCGCGGUAAUUCCAGCUCCAAUAGCGUAUAUUAAAGUUGUUGCAGUUAAAAAGCUCGUAGUUGAAACUUGGGCCUGGCUGGCAGGUCCGCCUCACCGCGUGUACUUGUCCGGCCGGGCCUUUCCUUCUGGAGAACCUCAUGCCCUUCACUGGGUGUGUUGGGGAACCAGGACUUUUACUUUGAAAAAAUUAGAGUGUUCAAAGCAGGCCUUUGCUCGAAUACGUUAGCAUGGAAUAAUAGAAUAGGACGUGCGGUCCUAUUUUGUUGGUUUCUAGGACCGCCGUAAUGAUUAAUAGGGACAGUCGGGGGCAUCAGUAUUCAAUUGUCAGAGGUGAAAUUCUUGGAUUUAUUGAAGACUAACUACUGCGAAAGCAUUUGCCAAGGAUGUUUUCAUUAAUCAGUGAACGAAAGUUAGGGGAUCGAAGACGAUCAGAUACCGUCGUAGUCUUAACCGUAAACUAUGCCGACUAGGGAUCGGGCGAUGUUCUUUUUCUGACUCGCUCGGCACCUUACGAGAAAUCAAAGUUUUUGGGUCUGGGGGAGUGGCCCG
This 1068-nucleotide ribosomal RNA is filed under the name Didymella glomerata. Its description in RNAcentral is "SSU rRNA". It matches the Rfam family "Eukaryotic small subunit ribosomal RNA", at positions 45 to 1131 of the family's 1831-position model. The record is from RNAcentral. Lineage: Eukaryota; Fungi; Ascomycota; Dothideomycetes; Pleosporales; Didymellaceae.